Molecule: ribosomal RNA, 253 nt
Filed under: uncultured bacterium
Lineage: Bacteria
Description: partial 16S ribosomal RNA
Rfam family: Bacterial small subunit ribosomal RNA
Source: RNAcentral
UACGGGGGGGGCAAGCGUUGUUCGGAAUUACUGGGCGUAAAGGGCUCGUAGGUGGCCAACUAAGUCAGACGUGAAAUCCCUCGGCUUAACCGGGGAACUGCGUCUGAUACUGGAUGGCUUGAGAUUGGGAGAGGGACGCGGAAUUCCUGGUGUAGCGGUGAAAUGCGUAGAUAUCAGGAGGAACACCAAUAGCGAAGGCAGCUCGCUGGGACGGUACUGACGCUAAGGCGCGAAAGCGUGGGGAGCGAACAGG